CAACUAUCCACAAAAGACAAAAAUGACACAGACAUUAACAACUAUAGGUCACCGUACGGCCUUCAACAAUGAGCAAAGCCCAAACCGCAUAGUCAGCUAUAAAAGACCCCAAUAAGACAAUGUAAAACAAUUCAAACGAGAAAACUAACGGCCUUAUUUAUGUAAAAAAAUGAACGAAAAACAAAUAUGUAACACAUAAACAAACGACAACCACUGAAUUAUAGUCUCCUGACUUGAGACAGGCACAUACAUAAAUAAUGUGGCGGGGUUAAACAUGUUAGCGGGAUCCCAACCCUCCCCCUAACCUGGGACAGUGAUAUAACAGUACAACAUAAGAACG
RNAcentral lists this long non-coding RNA (340 nucleotides) under Mytilus galloprovincialis (Mediterranean mussel). Lineage: Eukaryota; Metazoa; Mollusca; Bivalvia; Mytilida; Mytilidae. The record is from RNAcentral.